Molecule: ribosomal RNA, 254 nt
Filed under: uncultured soil bacterium
Lineage: Bacteria
Description: partial 16S ribosomal RNA
Rfam family: Bacterial small subunit ribosomal RNA
Source: RNAcentral
AGGACGAACGCUGGCGGCGUGCUUAACGCAUGCAAGUCGAGCGGUAAGGCCUUUCGGGGUACACGAGCGGCGAACGGGUGAGUAACACGUGGGUGAUCUGCCCUGCACUCUGGGAUAAGCCUGGGAAACUGGGUCUAAUACCGGAUAUGACCUGCUCUCGCAUGGGGGUGGUGGAAAGAUUUAUCGGUGCAGGAUGGGCCCGCGGCCUAUCAGCUUGUUGGUGGGGUAAUGGCCUACCAAGGCGACGACGGGUA